AGGAACACAUCUGCGGCCAUUAAAUUCUGAUUGCUCUGUACCUACAAUAUUUUACAAAGCUGAGGGAGUCAAAACAUAAGAUCCAAGGAGUGUGUAUUUCACGACGAAGAGGGUUAGUAUAUUCAUUUUCAUAUUCUAGGGAUGAAUGUUUGUGUUCCUAAUAACUUCAUAGAAGGCAAUGUGUACUGCAUAAAAAAAUUCUUGGUAAUAUAAAAUCAGAGGUGGAUGUUCAAGCAAUGUAAUAGAGACAACUAUGUGGAUCUAAAAGGUAUUAAGAGUGACAGUUGAACUGAAUCAUAGGCAAGGGCAUAUCAG
This is a long non-coding RNA of Ipomoea triloba (trilobed morning glory), 315 nucleotides long. RefSeq lists it as uncharacterized. The record is from RefSeq and is a predicted model, not a curated record. Lineage: Eukaryota; Viridiplantae; Streptophyta; Magnoliopsida; Solanales; Convolvulaceae. The transcript is spliced from 3 exons.